Molecule: ribosomal RNA, 498 nt
Filed under: uncultured delta proteobacterium
Lineage: Bacteria; Deltaproteobacteria
Description: bacterial SSU rRNA
Rfam family: Bacterial small subunit ribosomal RNA
Source: RNAcentral
GGCGCACGGGUGAGUAACGCGUAGGUAAUCUACCCUUGUACCUGGGAUAACAUUGGGAAACUGGUGCUAAUACCGGAUACACUUUUUUAACGCGGGUUAAAGGAGGAAAGGUGGCCUCUUCAUGAAAGCUACCGUACGGGGAUGAGCCUGCGUACCAUUAGCUAGUAGGCGGGGUAACGGCCCACCUAGGCGACGAUGGUUAGCGGGUCUGAGAGGAUGAUCCGCCACACUGGAACUGGAGCACGGACCAGACUCCUACGGGAGGCAGCAGUGAGGAAUAUUGCGCAAUGGGGGCAACCCUGACGCAGCGACGCCGCGUGAGUGAGAAAGGUCUUCGGAUCGUAAAGCUCCGUCAGAAGGGAAGAAGUGUUAUAUGGUUAAUACCCAUAUAAUUUGACGGUACCUUCAGAGGAAGCACCGGCUAACUCCGUGCCAGCAGCCGCGGUAAUACGGAGGGUGCAAGCGUUGUUCGGAAUUACUGGGCGUAAAGGGCGCGUA